ACGAUAUGGCCCAGUGUUAUUGUUUAGUUAUGGGCUCAGAGGUGGAUAGACACUUAGCAGAUCAAAAAAAAUACAUAUGUUUCCUGCCCUGGAGAGUUUAUUCAGUUUUGCUCCUUCAUCUGAUUAACUAAUAUGACUCAGAGUUCUUCCGAGAAACACCAGCGCAGUAUCCUACACAGAACUUUCUCUGAUGCAAACUACAAAAUCCCUGUAAAUAUCAGCUGUCCUGGGAAAGACUGAAGCUGAAGGAAAAAGACAAUCCAGCCCAAAUCACAAAACAACCCAUUGACAUUAGCCAGCCAAGUUGAUGAGAAGAAUUUGGACCCAACAUAGCAACAAACUUAGCAACAGGGCUAACCAACCAUGAGAGCAACUGGCACAGGAACCCACAAGGGGAGCGGCAAUUCUCGAUUUAGUCCUGAGUGAAGCAC
Long non-coding RNA from Mauremys mutica (yellowpond turtle), 431 nucleotides. RefSeq lists it as uncharacterized. The record is from RefSeq and is a predicted model, not a curated record. NCBI's taxonomy places the organism in Eukaryota, Metazoa, Chordata, Testudines, Geoemydidae. The transcript is spliced from 4 exons.